RNAcentral lists this ribosomal RNA (320 nucleotides) under uncultured eukaryote. Its description in RNAcentral is "partial 18S ribosomal RNA". It matches the Rfam family "Eukaryotic small subunit ribosomal RNA", at positions 1470 to 1796 of the family's 1831-position model. The record is from RNAcentral.
CCCCUAGAUGUUCUGGGCCGCACGCGCGCUACACUGGACAGUUCAACAAGUCUUAACCUUGGCCGAUAGGUCUGGGUAAUCUUUGAACGCUGUUCGUGACUGGGAUAGACCUUUGCAAUUAUGGGUCUUCAACGAGGAAUUCCUAGUAAACGCAAGUCAUCAGCUUGCAUUGAUUACGUCCCUGCCCUUUGUACACACCGCCCGUCGCACCUACCGAUUGAAUGGUCCGGUGAAAUCUCGGGACGGCGGCUUGGUCGCUUGCGUCCGACUGCUGAAACUUGAUUAAACCAUAUCAUUUAGAGGAAGGUGAAGUCGUAACA